This 496-nucleotide ribosomal RNA is filed under the name uncultured bacterium. RNAcentral describes it as "partial 16S ribosomal RNA". It matches the Rfam family "Bacterial small subunit ribosomal RNA", at positions 28 to 506 of the family's 1533-position model. The record is from RNAcentral.
GAUGAACGCUGGCGGCGUGCCUAAUACAUGCAAGUCGAGCGAACGGACGAGAAGCUUGCUUCUCUGAUGUUAGCGGCGGACGGGUGAGUAACACGUGGAUAACCUACCUAUAAGACUGGGAUAACUUCGGGAAACCGGAGCUAAUACCGGAUAAUAUUUUGAACCGCAUGGUUCAAAAGUGAAAGACGGUCUUGCUGUCACUUAUAGAUGGAUCCGCGCUGCAUUAGCUAGUUGGUAAGGUAACGGCUUACCAAGGCAACGAUGCAUAGCCGACCUGAGAGGGUGAUCGGCCACACUGGAACUGAGACACGGUCCAGACUCCUACGGGAGGCAGCAGUAGGGAAUCUUCCGCAAUGGGCGAAAGCUUGACGGAGCAACGCCGCGUGAGUGAUGAAGGUCUUCGGAUCGUAAAACUCUGUUAUUAGGGAAGAACAUAUGUGUAAGUAACUGUGCACAUCUUGACGGUACCUAAUCAGAAAGCCACGGCUAACUACGU